GAUGAACGCUGGCGGCGUGCCUAAUACAUGCAAGUCGAGCGAACGGACGAGAAGCUUGCUUCUCUGAUGUUAGCGGCGGACGGGUGAGUAACACGUGGAUAACCUACCUAUAAGACUGGGAUAACUUCGGGAAACCGGAGCUAAUACCGGAUAAUAUUUUGAACCGCAUGGUUCAAAAGUGAAAGACGGUCUUGCUGUCACUUAUAGAUGGAUCCGCGCUGCAUUAGCUAGUUGGUAAGGUAACGGCUUACCAAGGCAACGAUGCAUAGCCGACCUAAGAGGGUGAUCGGCCACACUGGAACUGAGACACGGUCCAGACUCCUACGGGAGGCAGCAGUAGGGAAUCUUCCGCAAUGGGCGAAAGCCUGACGGAGCAACGCCGCGUGAGUGAUGAAGGUCUUCGGAUCGUAAAGCUCUGUUAUUAGGGAAGAACAUAUGUGUAAGUAACUGUGCACAUCUUGACGGUACCUAAUCAGAAAGCCACGGCUAACUACGUG
This 497-nucleotide ribosomal RNA is filed under the name uncultured bacterium. RNAcentral's name for it is "partial 16S ribosomal RNA". It matches the Rfam family "Bacterial small subunit ribosomal RNA", at positions 28 to 507 of the family's 1533-position model. The record is from RNAcentral.